UACGUAGGUCCCGAGCGUUGUCCGGAUUUAUUGGGCGUAAAGCGAGCGCAGGUGGUUUAAUAAGUCUGAUGUAAAAGGCAGUGGCUCAACCAUUGUGUGCAUUGGAAACUGUUAGACUUGAGUGCAGUAGAGGAGAGUGGAAUUCCAUGUGUAGCGGUGAAAUGCGUAGAUAUAUGGAGGAACACCGGUGGCGAAAGCGGCUCUCUGGCCAGUUACUGACGCUCAUGCGCGAAAGCGUGGGGAGCAAACAGG
Molecule: ribosomal RNA, 252 nt
Filed under: uncultured microorganism
Description: partial 16S ribosomal RNA
Rfam family: Bacterial small subunit ribosomal RNA
Source: RNAcentral